Molecule: long non-coding RNA, 557 nt
Filed under: Zostera marina
Lineage: Eukaryota; Viridiplantae; Streptophyta; Magnoliopsida; Alismatales; Zosteraceae
Description: long non-coding RNA (ZMAR_LNC000140)
Source: RNAcentral
UCGUCCUUCUGAUUUCCGCCGUCGAAGCUGGCAGCAAUUCGUCGACCGAGGGCGUUUACUCGGAGCUCCUUGCAGGAGGACGGUGUACCGGAAAAGUGGGAGAGUGCAAUGUACAAGAGACGGAAUGGGUUGUGGACUCUGAAAUCACCCGGAGAUUACUGAAAAGAAAAGAUAGAUAUAUUAGUAGCAUCGCUGUAAGAAAUAGUGGUAGUAGUGUAUUGAAGAGUAAACGAACACAUUCUUAUACAUGUGCCGGAACUUACAGAUGUAAACCCCAUCAUUAGAUCUGUAAUUCAAAUUUCGACAUGAUUCAUCUACAAUUAAAAUUGACAGACUGAUUCUCUGUGACACAAAAUGCCAAUUUAAAAGUUUAAAAUUGACAAACUUGAUAAUUGAUACCUGUCAGAGCUUCACCUUCCCGCUGGGCAUUGUUGCCUGUACUCGACGGAAGAAGGUCGUUUAGAGGUUUGAUUGGAGACAUACGUCAAAUUAAUAUUACUAUUGUUUGCGACAUAAAAUCUAUAGGUCUGUUUAAUCACUGUAAUGAUGAUUUUUUU